AUUCACAAAUCACAUACCCACAAAAAAACGCGUUGCUCUCUGUGCUUGCCUCCCCCUCUUUCGUUCCUUUCAUUCAUUUGUUGCAUUCCUCAACGAAAGAAAGAAAGAAAAGAGUGAGCCACUGAAAACCCUAGCUAGCCUCCACCACCGCCGAACGGAGUGAACCACUGCCACCUUUCGUGGUUGUCCGAGGCUUCUCGCUUCUCGAUUAGUCCCUGUUCGCUCUCUUCUUCCUCGCUCGGCGUCCAUCUUCCGUCGUCUUCGUCCUGGUCGCCGUCGCCUUGUCGCCGUCGUAUCGUCGCUGCCGUUUCGUCGCGCUCAACCGCUCUCCGUCGCGCUCAACCGCUCUCGAAGAACCCUAACCCACAGAGAGCGAGCCCUUCUCCCUGUGCGGCGCCGUUGUUCUCGCUCACCCCAGAGUCCUAACUCUGUCGUCGUCUCGUUGAUACAAGCCCCUCUAUGCAGCGUUGUCAUGCUCCAUCAUCCCAUUGCAGUCGAGCCUCCCUCGUCUCUCUGUUUCCAGCGCUGUAGUCUCUGUCGUGAAACUGAGACUGAUCAAUUGGAGUACAUAAUUCCAGAAGAGUCAUCAUUGGAACAGCACCUACAAGUUUCUGAUACAAUGUUUAUAGACUUUGUAAGAUACUUGCUUAGCAUCAACCCUAAAAGAAGACCUACUGCUAGACAAGCACUAAAGCAUCCUUGGCUUUCCCAUGUUUACAAGUCCAAAUAGUACGAGUUAUUUUUAUCUUCUAAUUUUUUUUUUCUCCCUGCAUAUAGGAAAGCUUGCAAUCACAUUUUUGGUUUGUUUGUAAGCAAGAAGAAGAAAAUUCACUGCCUCAAGAUGUAUAUGUUUUGUUUUUGUUCCUUGUUGUAACAGUUUGUUCUUGUACAGAACUUGUGUCCAUUGUUUUUUGCCUUCCAUGGAUGGGGAGGUUUGAGAAUUUUACUAAAAUAACAUUUAUGUUUUACCUUUA
This is a long non-coding RNA of Arachis duranensis, 974 nucleotides long. RefSeq lists it as uncharacterized. The record is from RefSeq and is a predicted model, not a curated record. NCBI's taxonomy places the organism in Eukaryota, Viridiplantae, Streptophyta, Magnoliopsida, Fabales, Fabaceae. The transcript has 3 exons.